Molecule: ribosomal RNA, 439 nt
Filed under: uncultured bacterium
Lineage: Bacteria
Description: bacterial SSU rRNA
Rfam family: Bacterial small subunit ribosomal RNA
Source: RNAcentral
AGUGGCGGAAGGGCGAGGAACACGUGAGCAACCUGGUCCUUGAAGGUGGGGAAAACCGUUGGAAACGACGGCUAAUACCGAAUGCGGCGCCGGGAGACAUCUCCGAGCGCUAAAGGGGGCCGCAAGGCUCCCCCUCUUCGAGGGGCUCGCGCACCAUCAGCUUGUUGGCGGGUAACGGCCCACCAAGGCUCACGGUUAGCUGGUCUGAGAGGAUGGCCAGCCGCACUGGGACUGAGAUACUGCCCAGACUCCUACGGGAGGCUGCAGUCGAGGAUCAUUCGCAAUGGGGGAAACCCUGACGAUGCGACGCUGCGUGGAGGAAUGAAGGCCCUCGGGUCGUAAACUCCUGUCAUGAGGGAAAAGGCGAGGGGACCCAACACGUCCCUUAGUUGAUGGUACCUCAAGAGGAACGGGCGGCUAACUCUGUGCCAGCAGCUGC